GCCAUAGUUCAGUGGUAGACCAUUUGUCUGGCACGCAGAAGACCUAGGUUCAAUUUCUGGUAUCUACA
Podarcis lilfordi (Lilford's wall lizard) is the source of this 68-nucleotide non-coding RNA. The record is from the annotation of a GenBank genome assembly. Lineage: Eukaryota; Metazoa; Chordata; Lepidosauria; Squamata; Lacertidae.